GGCUGGUCCAAAGGUAGUGAGUUAUCUCAAUUGAUUGUUCACAGUCAGUUACAGAUUGAACUCCCUGUUCUACUCUUUACCCCCUUCUCACUACUGCACUUGACUAGUCUAAA
Y RNA from Callithrix jacchus (white-tufted-ear marmoset), 113 nucleotides. It matches the Rfam family "Y RNA". From Rfam's summary of the family: Y RNAs are components of the Ro ribonucleoprotein particle (Ro RNP), in association with Ro60 and La proteins. The Y RNAs and Ro60 and La proteins are well conserved, but the function of the Ro RNP is not known. In humans the RNA component can be one of four small RNAs -- hY1, hY3, hY4 and hY5. The record is from Ensembl. Lineage: Eukaryota; Metazoa; Chordata; Mammalia; Primates; Cebidae.